CCAGCAUAUCUCUGAAUGUUGUCGCUCAAAAAUUGUGUGCGAUAUGUCAAAUGAAAGGUAUUGACGAUACGAAUCAGCAUAUUUCAGUUAUAUAAAAAUCGGGUUUGUCGAUCAGCAGCUAUUGGCGAGAAAGCAAGCAAAAUAGCGUGUUUUGAAUGUUUUGCAGUAGUUUUUCACGAACAUCUCUAGAUGUUUUGACUCAAGAAGGGUGUGUGAUGUGUCAAAUGAAAGGUAUUGACUAGACGAGACAAAACAUUCAAUUUUUAAGAAAAUCGGAUUUGUACAUACAACAGAAGCUAUUGUUGAGAAAUCAAUAAAAACUGCAUAUUUUCCUACUUUUCCUAUUUUCCC
Bradysia coprophila is the source of this 351-nucleotide long non-coding RNA. Lineage: Eukaryota; Metazoa; Arthropoda; Insecta; Diptera; Sciaridae. The record is from RefSeq and is a predicted model, not a curated record.